Molecule: long non-coding RNA, 1403 nt
Filed under: Zonotrichia albicollis (white-throated sparrow)
Lineage: Eukaryota; Metazoa; Chordata; Aves; Passeriformes; Passerellidae
Description: lncRNA (ENSZALG00000002186.1)
Source: RNAcentral
UGGGAGUGUCACUGUCACCUUCUGUCAUUGUCACCCCUGUGUCACCUCUGUGUCACCCUGUGUCACCCCUGUGUCACCCUGGGAGUGUCACUGUCAUCCCCUGUGUCACCCCUGUGUCACCCUUGGGACCCUGGGAGUGUCACUGUCACUCCUGUGUCACCCCUGUGUCACCCUGGGAUUGUCACUGUCACCCCUGGGAUUGUCACUGUCACCCCUGUGUCACCCUGGGAGUGUCACUGUCACCCCUGGGUCACCCUGGGAGUGUCACUGUCACCUUCUGUGUCACCCUUGGGACCCCGGGAUUGUCACUGUCACCCCUGUGUCACCCCUGUGUCACCCUUGGGACCCCAAAAUUGUCACUGUCACCCUUGUGUCACCUCUGUGUCACCCCUGGGACCCCAAGAUUGUCACUGUCACCCCCUGUGUCACCCCAGGAUUGUCAUUGUUACCCCUGUGUCACCCUUGGGACCCCUUUGGGACCCCAGGAUUGUCACUGUCACCCCCUGUGUCAUCCUGGGAGUGUCACUGUCACCCUUUGUGUCACCUCCUGUGUCACCUCUGUGUCAUUCCCUGUGUUAUCCUCUGUGUCACCCUGAGAGUGUCAUUGUCACCCUUGUGUCACCCCUGUGUCACCCCUGUGUCACCCCUGUGUCACCCUGGGAGUGUCACUGUCACCCGUGUGUCACCCCUGUGUCACCCUGUGUCACCUUUGGGACCCCAGGAUUGUCACUGUCACCCCUGUGUCACCUCUGUGUCACCUGUGUCACCCCUGUGUCACCCUGAGAUUGUCAUUGUCAGCCCUGUGUCACUAGGAUUGUUACUGUCACCCCCUGUGUCACCCUGGGAGUGUCAUUGUCACCCCUGUGUCACCCCGGGAUUGUCAUUGUCACUGUCACCCGUGUGUCACCUCUGUGUCACCCCCCUGUCACCCCGAGAUUGUCACUGUCACUCCUGUGUCACCCCGGGAGUGUCACUGUCACCCGUGUGUCACCCUGGGAUUGUCACUGUCACCUUCUGUCAUUGUCACCCCUGUGUCACCCCUGUGUCACCCCGGGAUUGUCACUGUCACCCCUGUGUCACCCCGGCAUUGUCAUUGUCACUGUCACCCUUGUGUCACCUCUGUGUCACCCCUGUGUCACCCCAGGAUUGUCACUGUCACCCCCUGUGUCACCCUGGGAGUGUCACUGUCACCCCUGUGUCACCCAUGUGUCACCCUGGGAGUGUCACUGUCACCCCUGUGUCACCCCUGGGACCCCAGGAUUGUCACUGUCACCCCUGUGUCACCUCAGGGCCACCCUGCAAUGAGUCAGGGACCCCCAAGGGCCCCCCAGAUACUCUUGGGAACCCCUGGAAUGAGUCAGGGACCCCCAAAUUCCCCCCAGACCCCCUUGAGACCCCCAAAU